GGGGGGGGGGGGGGGGGGGGGGGGGGGGGGGGGGGGGGGGGAGGGCGGGGGGUGGAGGGGCGGGCGGGUGCGUAACGGGGGGGAGCCUGGCGUGAGGGGCGGACGAAGGCCGCGAAAGGGGGGGUAAGACCGGAUCAUGGCUUCGGACCCCAGAUUUGUCGCCUGUGGAUGGGCCCGCGUUGGAGUAGCUAGUUGGUAGGGUAAAAGCCUACCAAGGCGACUGUCCAUAGCUGGUCUGAGAGGAUGAUCAGCCACACUGGGACUGAGACACGGCCCAGACUCCUACGGGAGGCAGCAGUGGGGAAUAUUGGACAAUGGGCGAAAGCCUGAUCCAGCAAUGCCGCGUGAGUGAUGAAGGCCUUAGGGUUGUAAAGCUCUUUUACCCGGGAUGAUAAUGACAGUACCGGGAGAAUAAGCUCCGGCUAACUCCGUG
Molecule: ribosomal RNA, 433 nt
Filed under: uncultured bacterium
Lineage: Bacteria
Description: partial 16S ribosomal RNA
Rfam family: Bacterial small subunit ribosomal RNA (bases 45-433)
Source: RNAcentral